UUCCAGACUCCUACGGGAGGCAGCAGUGGGGAAUAUUGGACAAUGGGGGGAACCCUGAUCCAGCGACGCCGCGUGAGUGAAGAAGUAUUUCGGUAUGUAAAGCUCUAUCAGCAGGGAAGAAAAUGACGGUACCUGACUAAGAAGCCCCGGCUAACUACGUGCCAGCAGCCGCGGUAAUACGUAGGGGGCAAGCGUUAUCCGGAUUUACUGGGUGUAAAGGGAGCGUAGACGGCAAUACAAGUCGGAAGUGAAAUACCCGGGCUUAACCUGGGAACUGCUUUGGAAACUGUAUGGCUGGAGUGCUGGAGAGGUAAGCGGAAUUCCUAGUGUAGCGGUGAAAUGCGUAGAUAUUAGGAGGAACACCAGUGGCGAAGGCGGCUUACUGGACUGUAACUGACGUUGAGGCUCGAAAGCGUGGGGAGCAAACAGGAUUAGAUACCCCGGUA
This 446-nucleotide ribosomal RNA is filed under the name uncultured bacterium. Its description in RNAcentral is "bacterial SSU rRNA". It matches the Rfam family "Bacterial small subunit ribosomal RNA", at positions 329 to 792 of the family's 1533-position model. The record is from RNAcentral.